CUGGCCUCAGGGCAGAGCCUCACCCAGCCAGAGAGCGGGUGAGAGAGCAGGCAAGACGGUCAGCCUCUCACCAGGCUCCUGCUCAGAUACCUACCUGGGGACAGGCCACACCUUGCAUGUCGUCUUCUGCUGGGGGUCUGGACCCCAGGGAGAGCCUUGUGGUUACGAGCCCUCCCCUGAUCCCAGAGCCAGGCAAGGGAGGGUUGUCUCCGGCCUAGCAGGGACGGCAGGCCAAAGCCCCCAGUCCCAGGCUUCUCUGCUGCCUCCCUUCAUUACAGCCAGAUGUCACCAGCCCAAGAGGCAGGGGCGGGUGAGCUCCCAACAAGACCACCCUCCCCCGCAGCCUCAGUCCUCAGGGCAGUGAAGUGGGGUCAACCCACCUGUUUAUGGGACAGAGUGGAGCCCCAGGGACAUGAAGGUUCUGGCCGUGGCCCUUCCCCUCCAGGCCCCAGGCAAACACCUGCUACUGGACGCGGGGUGAAGUCCUGGCCAGGAGGGGCACAGGGUUGUGGGCUCUAGGCUGUCACCACCCCUGCCCUCUGGGGACUAAGGCAGUCCUCGCCAUGGGACAGCAAGCCUGCCAUUGUGCAAGACUAUGGAUUCCCACCAUAGCCCCGGUCAGCCCCGGUGGAGAUGGGCAGGGGUGAGGGAAAGGCCUAGGCCUUGGACUCAGAGGCCAGAGUAGGGGACAGGUCUGUACUCUGGGGACCCCUCCCCACUCCUCCCCCCUUCUAGGCUUAUGACCUUUUCAAGGAAGCAGCUCCCUUAAGCCUCGUUUUUCUCAUCUGUGAAGUGCGGCUCACAGAUUCAUGCUCUCCAUAGGGUCCCUGUGUGGUGCUGCCCAGUGCUGACAGGUGCCCAGCCACAGCCUGAGGGCUCCAUUCCCUGGUCUGGCCACGUCUCAGUGUGAAGCAGUCACCAGUGUGUGCUGGCUGCCCGGAGGUUGCACAGGGCAAGGAGGGCCCCAGUCAGGCCCCGCAGACUCCCUGGGGCCAUGAGACUAGCAUCCUCCUAGGGGAUAUGGGGCCGGGCUGGACACCCCGACCCUUCCCACUCUGGGCAUUUUUCAGUUUGCACAAGAUGGGGCCAGCUCAGGGGGAGGAGGGGCUGCAGUCCAGGCUGUGGAGAGCUUGGAAUCCCGCUGCUGGGAAGACCCUGGAGUCCCCCAGAUUCCCAGCAGGGGGCAGCACCAGCUCAGGGAGAGGCCGGGCAGAGGGCCUUCCCUGCUGGAAGGUGGGUCGGAGCCCGGUGCCUAAGGGUGCUUUGUAUCCCGCUGUGUCCACCUGGGGCAGAGCUGCCACGCAUACCCAGGACCCCAGGUGUGGCCUGCUGGAUGGUCAGGAAUCGGUUGGGCAAGGGUUGGGUGCCUGGGCCCCGCUUGAACUUGGGGACCACAGAGGUGUGUCGAUGGGAACUGCCUGGGCAGGUGAGGCAGCAGGUGUGGGUGCCGCCCAAGGAGCGGCAGGCAGGCUGGUACUCACCCAGUUCCCACCUUGACCGAGCCUUGGACGACACCCACUUCACAGAGAGGCCAAGGGCAGGACAAGGGCUGAGGGCUCAGGCUGUGUCUGGAAGUGCUUCUGUCAGGAGGCCAGAGAGGAAGGCUGGGUAGAGGACACAGAAGACCCAGGCCUGGGUGGAAGGGAGGCUGUCGCAUGAGCAAAGCCCAUUCCCAGAGUGCGCGAGAGGUUCUGGAGUGGACGGGUUCCGCAGCCAGGCCUGGGCUCUCGGGGCCUGCCCAGAGGAGUGGCCAAACCAGAGCACAUCAGGUGGGGCAGCCCCGAGGAUGAUCUGGAAGGGACACUGCACCUGGCCUCCACCAUCAGAGAGGGGGCAGCCAUGACUGAAGGGCUUCCCAAGGACGGUGACCCUCAGGGCCAGGAGCAUCUCAGGCUGACGCCUUACAGCUGGCAGAGCUGUGUCCUGGAGAUCACCAGACCUCCCUUUCCCCAGAUCUGCCUCUGAGGAAAGAGUAGAGGUUUGGAAGUUCCUGGCCCGGCUAGACUCCAGGCCUUAAAACCAGGGCUCUUCAGCGUCCUGGCCCUCUGACUCCAGCCAGGAAAGUGCUUCUGCUAUCUGACCACAGUGCUUCCUGCUGUAUACUCAGUCUUUCCCACUGUCAGCCUAGAGAAGGACCUGAGGCCUCAUCUCAUGCUGGGCUCUGUAAACAAAACAGGAAGGGGCCAGAGCCUCAGUUUCCACCCACUGAAGCACGAGUGGGUCGGAUAAGCCCUGACCGUAUCCCGACAUCAAUCUUUAUGCUUCAAAGCCCCUGGACCAUUACCGCUGACCGGAAUUGAGGGCCACCUCCAAGGCAGGACCAGCUAGGGGCCGAGGCACCACCCUACGGGAGACAGACACAAGCCAGCAAACUUCACAUGGAAGGUCUGGGACAGAGGGACACUUUCCAGAGGUGAUACCUGAGACCACAGGACAGGGACACCGAGAGGGAGUUAGAGCAGAAGGUCCCAGGCAGGGGCAGGCAGGGCUCAGAGGAGCCCUGGGCAGGAGUGGGCCCUGGGCCAGCACCGCAGAAGCAGGGGCUGUCAGGGCCAGGCCAAC
RNAcentral lists this long non-coding RNA (2562 nucleotides) under Marmota monax (woodchuck). The record is from RNAcentral. Lineage: Eukaryota; Metazoa; Chordata; Mammalia; Rodentia; Sciuridae.